Molecule: ribosomal RNA, 515 nt
Filed under: uncultured bacterium
Lineage: Bacteria
Description: bacterial SSU rRNA
Rfam family: Bacterial small subunit ribosomal RNA
Source: RNAcentral
AGAGUUUGAUCAUGGCUCAGAAUCAACGCUGGCGGCGUGCCUAACACAUGCAAGUCGAACGAGAAAGUGGAGCAAUCCAUGAGUAAAGUGGCGACCGGGUGAGUAACACGUGACUACCUGCCCUAGAGUGGGGGAUAACCCCGGGAAACCGGGGCUAAUACCGCAUAACAUCGAGAGAUCAAAGGCGCAAGCCGCUCUUGGAGGGGGUCGCGGCUGAUUAGCUAGUUGGUGAGGUAAUGGCUCACCAAGGCGAUGAUCAGUAGCCGGCCUGAGAGGGCGCACGGCCACACUGGAACUGAAACACGGUCCAGACUCCUACGGGAGGCAGCAGUGGGGAGUUUUGCGCAAUGGGGGAAACCCUGACGCAGCAACGCCGCGUGGAGGAUGAAGUUCUUUGGAACGUAAACUCCUUUCGAGCGGGACGAUGAUGACGGUACCGCUAGAAGAAGCCCCGGCUAACUUCGUGCCAGCAGCCGCGGUAAUACGAGGGGGGCAAGCGUUGUUCGGAAUUAUUG